UCGACAUGCAGGCAACGGCUCUCCUAAUUUGAAAUUCACCUGUCGUCUUUCAUCCAGCGAAUUCAUCCUCGCACAACACUGAGAUGAAGGCGAAGUCACCAUGAAAAGUUAAACGUUUACCGUUAAGCUACAGUAAUUGAUGUUGAAAAAACUGAUGCAACCAAUCACUCCUCACUUGAUUAUUCAAGCUCAGAUUGUGAUGAACCUGGAAUGUGACACCAGUUACUCUUAAGACAAGAACCGAAUAAAGCACAGAUGUGGAGGGAUUUGCAGCCAAACUUACUGGAGGGAAGGAACCUUUAGUGUGGGUGAACAUACUCCCUGGAUGUCCAACAAAGGCUGCACAAGAGCUCAUUUGAUAGCACACAUUCUGUCCUGUCUACAUCUCUAAUGACCUGGAAGUGCUUCGACAUCAGAUCAUCAGAAGUGCUGCUGCCCUUUUUCACUGUCCCUUUCCACAUCAUUUGGCCUUCAUCAUGUCUUGUAGCAGUAUUUUCACCUGUUUUUAAAAUUGUAAUAAUUUUUGAUGUAUUAAUUGUUGACUGGUUUUAAUGAUCAAUUGUUUAUUAGUGUUCUGUUGCUUUAUAUUGAAUAAUUGCUACUGUUUUAGCAUGGUUUACACAAUAAACCUUUAUUGUG
Molecule: non-coding RNA, 639 nt
Organism: Danio rerio (zebrafish)
Lineage: Eukaryota; Metazoa; Chordata; Actinopteri; Cypriniformes; Danionidae
Source: Ensembl